CUACGGGUUGCACCAGUGAGGAAUAUUGCACAAUGGGGGGAACCCUGAUGCAGCAACGCCGCGUGGAGGAUGACGCAUUUCGGUGUGUAAACUCCUUUUAUAUGUCAAGAAAAUGACGGUAGCAUACGAAUAAGCACCGGCUAACUCCGUGCCAGCAGCCGCGGCAAUACGGAGGGUGCAAGCGUUACUCGGAAUCACUGGGCGUAAAGGACGCGUAGGCGGGGUGGAAAGUCAGGUGUGAAAUCCUACAGCUUAACUGUAGAACUGCACUUGAAACUUCUAAUCUAGAGUAUGGGAGGGGGAGAUGGAAUUAGUGGUGUAGGGGUAAAAUCCGUAGAUAUCACUAGGAAUACCUAAAGCGAAGGCGAUCUCCUGGAACAUUACUGACGCUAAGGCGUGAAAGCGUGGGGAGCAAACAGGAUUAGAUACCCCCGUAGUC
Molecule: ribosomal RNA, 439 nt
Filed under: uncultured bacterium
Lineage: Bacteria
Description: partial 16S ribosomal RNA
Rfam family: Bacterial small subunit ribosomal RNA
Source: RNAcentral